RNAcentral lists this ribosomal RNA (443 nucleotides) under uncultured bacterium. RNAcentral's name for it is "partial 16S ribosomal RNA". It matches the Rfam family "Bacterial small subunit ribosomal RNA", at positions 338 to 795 of the family's 1533-position model. The record is from RNAcentral.
CCUACGGGAGGCAGCAGUGGGGAAUCUUUGGCAAUGGGCGCAAGCCUGACCCAGCAACGCCGCGUGAAGGAAGAAGGCUUUCGGGUUGUAAACUUCUUUUCUGAGGGACGAAGAAAGUGACGGUACCUCAGGAAUAAGCCACGGCUAACAACAUGCUAGCAGCCGCGGUAAUACGUAGGUGGCAAGCGUUAUCCGGAGUUAUUGGGUGUAAAGGGCGUGUAGGCGGGAAAGCAAGUCAGAUGUGAAAACUCAGGGCUCAACCCGGAGCCUGCAGAUGAAACUGUUUGACUUGAGUGCUGGAGGGGCAAUCGGAAUUCCGGGUGUAGCGGUGAAAUGCGUAGAUAUACGGAGGAACACCAGUGGCGAAGGCGGGUUGCUGGACAGUAACUGACGCUGAGGCACGAAGGCGAGGGGAGCAAACGGGAUUAGAUACCCGGGUAGUC